Molecule: long non-coding RNA, 1478 nt
Organism: Oryzias latipes (Japanese medaka)
Lineage: Eukaryota; Metazoa; Chordata; Actinopteri; Beloniformes; Adrianichthyidae
Source: RefSeq, a predicted model, not a curated record
CUGGCUCUCCCCUUGAACACUGAGCAGAAGGCUGGGGCUGAGGGAGGCAGAGGAGAGGGGAAAGCAGGCUGGAGAAGAGGCAGGGAGAGGAAGAGCUGAGGCCGGAUAGAACCUCCAAGGCUGAAGGGGGACAAGGAAGACGGCAGGCCAGAUGAAACUGGAGGAAGAAAGUUUCACAUCAAAAGUUAGGAAGGAAUGUACUUAUGAAGAAAGACGUGGAGCUGAUGGAGGCAGAGAACAAUUCCACAGUGAUGAUGGAAAUGCUGGGAUACUUCAAAGAUUGGGAUGAUGGGGACAAUAGAAGGCAAGAUGGGUGUAAAAGGAAUUAAGGAAAGCUGCAGAUGUUUAAAUGGAGAAAAAUGUUUUUAGCAAAUAAGAUUGGAGUGUAUGCUAAUGGACCAGCUUUACACCACUCUGUGGAUGUAAAGCUGGUUUGGACAGAUGCUGGCAUCCAAUCAGGCAACAGGACCACUUCCCUUGUCAUAAUGAGAGCAGUGACAUCAUGUUAAGGGCGAGCGGAGAGAAGACAGCGGAGCUGCAGACAGGGAGCGGGGCUGCAUGCGCGGCGCUGCGCGGCCCAACCAGAGGCACGGCGGUCGGCUGGAAUGCGCGCGGACUACCGGGUUAUGGAGCGCAGCUGUGCGGGGAUGGGAGCCGGGGGCGCUGCCCCCCAACUGACCGACAACUGCCUGUUCGGAUGAAGCGAAAGUCGGAUAUGGAGGAGCUGGGACGCGCGUAAUGUCAUCCUGUUUAGAAUUUCUGCCGAGGAAUAGGAGAAGAGGACAACACCCAAACUGGCAUGAUGUAACAGGAGAGUGAAAACGCAGCCAGGAGCCCCCAGUGAUGCAGCAACUAGAUGGAAAAUGGGAUCUGGUGAUGCUGAUGACAUAAUAUCAGACCAACUCAAGAGACAAAAGAUGGAUCCAUAAAAGCAAAUGGAAGACUUGCUGUCAGAGCUAACAAGGAUUUCUAAGUGAAGAGAAGAGACUCAAUAACUAACAGAAUUUUUUUUGAUGUUUCUUGAAAUUGCUUAUUCCUUUUUUUCACCUGUUAAAAUUUUUAUUUAGAUUAACAGUGCAUUUUGCAUGUUUACGAUGCCAUAUCUUCUUGCCGUGUUUGAAUAAACUGAAGAUAAUAUUGCUUUUCCCAUUUAAUUGAUUGUCGUCAUUCUUCCCUUGUUAGAUCAGGGGUUUCCAUGACUGAGAGGCGUUUUUUGCUCUAUUGUUUCCUUACACAAUGACAAACUUUGCAUCCAAAGAAAACAAAAAUGACUGCAUCUUUACUGUUUUAGUUUUCUAACCAAAUCUUCAGGUUUAAAAUGUUUUUAUAUUCAUUGAUACUAGAUGCAUAGCAUUUAAAUGACCUUUUUCUUUAAACAUUACCGGUUUACUCAAAAAGUGGGUGUUUAGAAUAUGAUUGUAGAAAUGUUUGAAUAAGAAUGAGUCAUUUGUCACAUUUCUUGUGAUUUAUUUUCUGUU